AGACGUCUACAUUAGACUACCCGCGUAGUCCCAGCCGUAAACUAUGCGCGUUAGGUGUAUCGGUGACCACGAGUUACCGAGGUGCCGAAGGGAAACCGUGAAACGUGCCGCCUGGGAAGUACGGUCGCAAGGCUGAAACUUAAAGGAAUUGGCGGGGAGCACCACAACGGGUGGAGCCUGCGGUUUAAUUGGACUCAACGCCGGGAAGCUCACCGGAUAAGACAGCGGAUUGAUUGCCGGGCUGAAGACUCUGCAUGACUAGCUG
RNAcentral lists this ribosomal RNA (265 nucleotides) under uncultured archaeon. RNAcentral describes it as "partial 16S ribosomal RNA". It matches the Rfam family "Archaeal small subunit ribosomal RNA", at positions 717 to 982 of the family's 1478-position model. The record is from RNAcentral.